RNAcentral lists this ribosomal RNA (2873 nucleotides) under human gut metagenome. Its description in RNAcentral is "bacterial LSU rRNA". It matches the Rfam family "Bacterial large subunit ribosomal RNA". The record is from RNAcentral.
UUAAGCUAUAAAGGGCGUAGGACGGAUGCCUUGGCACCAAGCGCCGAUGAAGGACGUGACAAGCUGCGAUAAGCCACGGGGAGUUGCAAAUGAACUUUGAUCCGUGGAUUUCCGAAUGAGGAAACUCACAUAUGGUAAUGCAUAUGUAACCAUACAUGAAUACAUAGUGUAUGGUGGGGAACCCGGGGAACUGAAACAUCUAAGUACCCGGAGGAAAAGAAAGAAAACAAUCGAUUUCCUGAGUAGUGGUGAGCGAAAGGGAAAGAGCCUAAACGUUUAUAUAGUGAUAUAUAAACGGGUUACGGACCCCAUAACGUACUGAUUUUUGUAGUUGAACACAGUUGGAAAGCUGGGCGAAACAGAGUAACAGCCUCGUAGGCGAAACCGAAAUCAGACCGGGGGUAUCCAGAGUAUCACAGGACACGAGAAAUCCGGUGGGAAGACAGGAGGACCAUCUCCUAAGGCUAAAUACGACUUGGUGACCGAUAGAGUAUAGUACCGUGAGGGAAAGGUGAAAAGAACCCCGGGAGGGGAGUGAAAAAGAACCUGAAACCCUAUGUUUACAAGCAGAUAGAGCACGUUAAGGUGCGAUAUCGUACUUUUUGUAGAACGGUCCGGCGAGUUAUUUUAUAUGGCAAGAUUAAGUACUUAAGGUACGAAGUCGAAGAGAAAUCGAGUCUGAAAAGGGCGAAAAAGUCAUAUGAAAUAGACCCGAAACCGAGUGACCUAUCCAUGGUCAGGAUGAAGCUUGAGUAAAAUCAAGUGGAGGUCCGAACUCAUAAGCGUUAAAAAGCUUCGGGAUGAACUGUGGAUAGCGGAGAAAUUCCAAUCGAACUCGGAGAUAGCUGGUUCUCCUCGAAAUAGCUUUAGGGCUAGCCUUGAGGUAAAAGAAUUAUGGGGGUAGAGCACUGAAUGAGGUAGGGGCCAAAUCAGGUUACUGAACUCUAUCAAACUGCGAAUACCAUAAUUAGAAUACUCAGGAGUCAGACUGCGGGAGCUAAGUUCCGUGGUCAAAAGGGAAAGAGCCCAGAUCGUCAAUUAAGGUCCCAAAGAUAUAGUUAAGUGGAAAACGAUGUGAUUUUGCGUAAACAACCAGGAUGUUGGCUUAGAAGCAGCCAUUCAUUUAAAGAGUGCGUAAUAGCUCACUGGUCGAGUGAAGUUGCGCGGAAAAUUACCGGGGCUAAACUAUACACCGAAAUUGCGGAUUCAUGAGUAAUCAUGAGUGGUAGAGGAGCAUUCUGUUGUAGGAAGAAGUGUGAUCGAAAGGACAUGUGGACGAAGCAGAAGAGAGAAUGCCGGAAUAAGUAGCGAAAGCAUGGUGAGAAUCCAUGCCAUCGAAAGUCUAAGGUUUCCUGGGGAAGGUUCGUCCGCCCAGGGUAAGUCGGGACCUAAGGUGAGGCCGAAAGGCGUAGCCGAUGGACAGCAGGUAGAAAUUCCUGCACUACCGAAAUACUUAAAAGAUGCAAGGGACACAGGAGUGGAAGGAAAGCGAGGAAGAGGAAAGACUCGUAUCGAAAGAUAUAGUGAAAAUUAAAGUAACGAAUUUCCAAGAAGCACACUGGCGAGAAAAGCUUGUAGAUAUUGUAUAGAGGUACCCGUACCGCAAACCGACACAGGUAGAUGAGGAGAGGAUCCUAAGAUGAGCGAGAGAAGCAUUGUUAAGGAACUCGGCAAACCAACCCCGUAACUUAGGGAGAAGGGGUGCCUAUGUAAAAAUAGGCCGCAGAGAAGAGGCCCAAGCAACUGUUUAACAAAAACACAGGUUUCUGCUAAAUCGAAAGAUGAAGUAUAGGAGCUGACGCCUGCCCAGUGCUGGAAGGUUAAGGGAAAGAGUUAGAUGUAAGUCGAAGCUUAGAACUAAAGCCCCAGUGAACGGCGGCCGUAACUAUAACGGUCCUAAGGUAGCGAAAUUCCUUGUCAGGUAAGUUCUGACCCGCACGAAAGGCGUAAUGAUUUGGGCGCUGUCUCGACAAUGUACUCGGCGAAAUUGUAGUACUAGUGAAGAUGCUAGUUACCUGCGACAAGACAGAAAGACCCCAUGGAGCUUUACUGCAGUUUGAUACUGGGUUUCGAUAAGUUAUGUACAGGAUAGGUGGGAGACAAAGAAAGAAAGGCGUCAGCUUUUCCGGAGUCACCGUUGGGAUACCACCCUUAAUUUGUUGGAAUUCUAACUAGUGGUCAUGAUCUGGCCAGAGGACAAUGUCAGACGGGCAGUUUGACUGGGGCGGUCGCCUCCAAAAGAGUAACGGAGGCGCCCAAAGGUUCCCUCAGUGCGGACAGAAAUCGCACGAAAGAGUGUAAAGGCAGAAGGGAGCUUAACUGGAAGAUAGACAUAUCGAGCAGAUACGAAAGUAGGGCUUAGUGAUCCGGUGGAUAUUGAAUGGAAAAGCCAUCGCUCAACGGACAAAAGUUACCCUGGGGAUAACAGGCUUAUCUCCCCCAAGAGUUCACAUCGACGGGGAGGUUUGGCACCUCGAUGUCGGCUCAUCGCAUCCUGGAGCGGAAGUACGUUCCAAGGGUUGGGCUGUUCGCCCAUUAAAGCGGUACGCGAGCUGGGUUCAGAACGUCGUGAGACAGUUCGGUCCUUAUCUGUCGCAGGCGGAAGAUAUUUGAGAGGAGCUGUCCUUAGUACGAGAGGACCAGGAUGGACAUACCGAUGGUGUAUCAGUUGUCACACCAGUGGCACGGCUGAGUAGCCAAGUAUGGACGGGAUAAACGCUGAAAGCAUCUAAGUGUGAAGCCCACCUCAAGAUAAGAUAUCUCAUAUCGUAAGAUAGUAAGAUUCCAUAAAGACUAUGUGGUUGAUAGGUUGGAGGUGUAAGUACAGUAAUGUAUUGAGCUGACCAAUACUAAUAAAUCGAGGGCUUAACCAC